UACGGAGUUAGCCGAUCCUUAUUCCUUCGGUACAUUCAGCUAUCUACACGUAGAUAGGUUUAUUCCCGAAUAAAAGCAGUUUACAACCCAGAGGGCCGUCUUCCUGCACGCGGCAUGGCUGGUUCAGAGUUGCCUCCAUUGACCAAUAUUCCUUACUGCUGCCUCCCGUAGGAGUCUGGUCCGUGUCUCAGUACCAGUGUGGGGGGCCAUCCUCUCAGAUCCCCUAGCCAUCGUCGCCUUGGUGGGCCGUUACCCGCCAACUAGCUAAUGGCACGCAUGCCCAUCCUUCUCCCAUAAAUGUUUGACCACUGAACGAUGCCGUUCCGUGGUCUUAUGCGGUAUUAAUCCGAAUUUCUUCGGGCUAUCCCCCAGAAAGGGUAGGUUGCAUACGCGUUACGCACCCGUGCGCCGGUCUCAAUGGAGCAAGCUCCAUCUACCCUCGACUUGCAUGUAUUAGGCCUGCCGCUAGCGUUCAUCCUGAGCCAGGCACAACU
Molecule: ribosomal RNA, 494 nt
Filed under: uncultured Sphingobacteriaceae bacterium
Lineage: Bacteria; Pseudomonadati; Bacteroidota; Sphingobacteriia; Sphingobacteriales; Sphingobacteriaceae
Description: partial 16S ribosomal RNA
Source: RNAcentral